This 468-nucleotide ribosomal RNA is filed under the name uncultured bacterium. RNAcentral's name for it is "partial 16S ribosomal RNA". It matches the Rfam family "Bacterial small subunit ribosomal RNA", at positions 28 to 507 of the family's 1533-position model. The record is from RNAcentral.
GACGAACGCUGGCGGCGUGCUUAACACAUGCAAGUCGAACGGAAAGGCCCUGCUUUUGUGGGGUGCUCGAGUUGCGACCGGGUGAGUAACACGUGAGUAACCUGCCCUUGACUUUGGGAUAACUUCAGGAAACUGGGGCUAAUACCGGAUAGGAGUUCCUGCUGCAUGGUGGGGGUUGGUAGGUUUCGGCGGUUGGGGAUGGACUGGCGGCUUAUCAGCUUGUUCGUGGGGUAGUGGCUUACCAAGGCUUUGACGGGUAGCCGGGCUGAGAGGGGCACAGGACACAUUGGGACUGGGCUACGGCCCAGACCCGUACGGGAGGCAGCAGUGGGGAAUAGUGCACAAUGGGCGGAAGCAUGAUGCAGCACAGCAGCGUGCGGGAUGACGGCCUGCGGGUUGUGAACCACUGUCGCCUGUGACGAGGCGUGAGUGACGGUAAUGGGUAAAGAAGCACCGGCUAACUACGUG